AUUGGGUCUUCUGCGGUUUGGGCUGAAGCGGUCUCGCGGGACAAACAGAGACCCGCUCCAUUUCUGCAUACGUCUCCUUCUUCACCUACAAAGCCAAUUGAGCUUCAGGGACAGCGAAUCGAGAUGGAAAGACUUUGUGCGCUAGCUGCUGGAAGAUAUGUUCGAGAUGAAAUUGAUCCUGAAGAGGAAAUCUUACCAUCUUUUGACUCCAUUGCCAAUGAGGAAAAUGAUAAUGAGGAAGUUUGAUAUCUUUCUUGAUUUGUUGUUUUGUUUUAUUACAAGUUGGAAUUUCAUGUUUCAAUUUCUUGGAUUUGUUUGAGUACUAUGAUUAGGGUUUUUUUUGGUGUUUGGUCGUGUAUAAAAGAAAUGUGUAAGAGUAUAAAAUUAUAUAAGCUGAAACGACAAUGAUUGUAAGAGUAUAAAAUGAUUGUAAGAGUAUGGUCGAUCAUGUUUUUAAUAAUGA
Long non-coding RNA from Brassica napus (rape), 463 nucleotides. RefSeq lists it as uncharacterized. Lineage: Eukaryota; Viridiplantae; Streptophyta; Magnoliopsida; Brassicales; Brassicaceae. The transcript is spliced from 2 exons. The record is from RefSeq and is a predicted model, not a curated record.